Molecule: ribosomal RNA, 78 nt
Filed under: Salmonella enterica
Lineage: Bacteria; Pseudomonadati; Pseudomonadota; Gammaproteobacteria; Enterobacterales; Enterobacteriaceae
Description: partial 23S ribosomal RNA
Source: RNAcentral
GGGUUGUGAGGUUAAGCGACCAAGCGUACACGGUGGAUGCCCUGGCAGUCAGAGGCGAUGAAGGACGUGCUAAUCUGC